Molecule: long non-coding RNA, 405 nt
Organism: Parus major (Great Tit)
Lineage: Eukaryota; Metazoa; Chordata; Aves; Passeriformes; Paridae
Exons: 3
Source: RefSeq, a predicted model, not a curated record
UUAGUGUCAGAACCUGUCAACGUUCAUGUAUUUUUUAGCUCUGCUCAAAAUAAUCUGUAGAAUUUUGGAUGAAGCCUAAGGGACAAGACAUGGAGUUCCUCUAUUUAAGACAUACAAGGAUGAAGGAUGGUCUGAAGUGGAAGAUAUCAAAUGCCAUUUAUUUUACAGAGCUUAUUCCUGUUUCACGUCUUGCCAUCUGGUCUAUGACAGCCUUGAAGUCUGUUAAGUCUACAAGUCUAUGAAAUAGCCUACAGCCCAGAAGUCCAUGAAAAAUGAUCCGUAAAAAAAAUGUAUGGAACCUUGAGAUUACCAAAUCUUUACUUAAUCUCUAGUAAAUUCCUUGUGCUUUUACACAUUGGGAAAAUUAAUUUGAGUAAAUUGAAUAUUGCUCAUUUUUCAGGUAAA